RNAcentral lists this small RNA (492 nucleotides) under Histoplasma capsulatum var. duboisii H88. Its description in RNAcentral is "Histoplasma capsulatum H88 hypothetical RNA". Lineage: Eukaryota; Fungi; Ascomycota; Eurotiomycetes; Onygenales; Ajellomycetaceae. The record is from RNAcentral.
UGGCCGCCUUCUCGGCCAUAGAACGAACAUUCUCCGGACGCAGGCCGCCAUCCUCCUCGAUUCCCGACACGGCCCAGAAUUCUGUCCAGAACGCCUCCCAGAGCCGUGGCCGGCAUGUAUAAUCCUGCCAGCCAUUUAGACCCAAAUAUCCUGUCAUCAGGAAGAGACUGUCUAGCUCAGUGCCGAAGGGCUGCACCGCCGCGAGGGACCAGUCAACAAUGCCUGUGAUUUCAUAUGUGUCUGGAUUGACAAGGAUAUUGGUUUUGGAGAAGUCACCAUGCGCCAGGACCUGAGGGAAUUCACUGGCGAAGAGCAGCGGUAAGAUAGUUUCAAGUUCAGAAAUAAUCAAGAUCCUGCACUCAAUGGCGACGCCUUGAGAAGCAUUAGUCUGUGGGAGAUUCCGGCCUGGUACUCGACGCGCAUCUGAGGCUCCAUACGCUGAGGUGUGGCCCAACACCAAGCAUAGUACCCUGAUAUUGAACUUUAGCAACU